GAUGAAGAACGUAGCGAAAUGCGAUAAGUAAUGUGAAUUGCAGAAUUCAGUGAAUCAUCGAAUCUUUGAACGCACAUUGCGCCCCCUGGUAUUCCGGGGGGCAUGCCUGUCCGUGCGUCAUUGCUGCCCUCAAGCACGGCUUGUGUGUUGGGCCUCCGUCCUCCUCCCGGGGGACGGGCCCGAAAGGCAGCGGCGGCACCGCGUCCGGUCCUCGAGCGUAUGGGGCUUCGUCACCCGCUCUUGUAGGCCCGGCCGGCGCUUGCCGACACAUCAAUCUUUUUUCCAGGUUGACCUCGGAUCAGGUAGGGAUACCCGCUGAACUUAAGCAUAUCAAUAAGCGGAGGA
Molecule: unclassified non-coding RNA, 345 nt
Filed under: soil metagenome
Description: partial contains 5.8S ribosomal RNA, internal transcribed spacer 2, and large subunit ribosomal RNA
Rfam family: 5.8S ribosomal RNA (bases 1-120)
Source: RNAcentral